This 425-nucleotide ribosomal RNA is filed under the name uncultured bacterium. RNAcentral's name for it is "bacterial SSU rRNA". It matches the Rfam family "Bacterial small subunit ribosomal RNA", at positions 359 to 776 of the family's 1533-position model. The record is from RNAcentral.
GAAUAUUGGACAAUGGGGGCAACCCUGAUCCAGCGAUGCCGCGUAGGUGAAGAAGGCCUUCGGGUUGUAAAGCCCUUUAGGUUGGGAAGAAGGGUGUUGGGUGAAUAGCCUGAUACUUUGACGGUCCCAACAGACUAAGCACCGGCCAACUCUGUGCCAGCAGCCGCGGUAAUACAGAGGGUGCGAGCGUUAAUCGAAAUUACUGGGCGUAAAGGGCGCGUAGGCGGUGAGAUGUGUGGGAUGUGAAAGCCCUGGGCUUAACCUGGGAAGUGCAUACCAAACUAUCUUACUGGAGUAGAGCAGAGGGUGGCGGAAUUUCCGGUGUAGCGGUGAAAUGCGUAGAGAUCGGAAGGAACGUCAAUGGCGAAGGCAGCCACCUGGGCUCAUACUGACGCUGAGGCGCGAAAGCGUGGGGAGCGAACAGG